CCGACUGCAACAGGCGUCCAGGGACACGACGCUGCUGGCAAGGCACGGCAGCGAAGCUGAGGGAGCCGUCCCUUGUGGCACGGGGGCGCGACGGCGCCAUGGCGGCUGUGGGGUGGAGGGCGCGUGCGUGAAGGCGGCGCGUUCCUUUGGCUUCCGGCAUGCCGCGACAUGGACUUCCCUGCUGUCGUCGUGCUCCCUGAUGCCAGCUCCUCCUUCCUCCCGCCGCGGGACAUGCACAACACCAAUCCAAUCCAUGCCCUCUGCCCGCUGGCCAGAGAAAGGCAUUGGUGAGAAAUAUGGAUGAUGCACGCGAACGAAUUGGCACUGCCAUCUCCACUGCACUGAAGGAGAUCAAGCCCAUUUCCAUCAGCAUCACCUAGAACCUUCCCUCGACCUGCAUCCUUUCCUUUCUUUUUUAUCUUCCCAAGGUAAAUUGUGCAACGUAUUGCCGCUCUGCCAUGGGUCACAUGGCCGUCCUUCAUACACCGCUUUACUAGGACUAACGCCGAAGUACAGAUGAUGGUAUGUAUGUUUUCACUAUUUCCUCAGUUUUUGUUUCUCCACAGUUUUCUAACUGGGGUCCUCACACAUUUUUUUUGUGUGUACAUUACGUGCCACCUAGAAAAUUCCAAAAGAAGUUGCCUCUUGUUUGGACACCCCGAAAGGCAAGACUAAG
Triticum dicoccoides is the source of this 676-nucleotide long non-coding RNA. RefSeq lists it as uncharacterized. NCBI's taxonomy places the organism in Eukaryota, Viridiplantae, Streptophyta, Magnoliopsida, Poales, Poaceae. The transcript is spliced from 3 exons. The record is from RefSeq and is a predicted model, not a curated record.